RNAcentral lists this long non-coding RNA (220 nucleotides) under Mytilus galloprovincialis (Mediterranean mussel). Lineage: Eukaryota; Metazoa; Mollusca; Bivalvia; Mytilida; Mytilidae. The record is from RNAcentral.
CAAGAGACUACCAAAACGACACAGAAAUUAACAACUAUAGGUCACCGUACGGCCUUCAAAAAUGAACAAAGCCCAUAUCGCAUAGUCAGCUAUAAAAGGCCCCGAAAUAAUGAAAAACAUUUUCAAACGAAAAAAAAAUAACGGCCUUAUUUAUGUACAAAAAAUGAACGAAAAACAAAUAUGUUACACAUAAACAAACGACAACCACUGAAUUACAGGC